Long non-coding RNA from Mustela lutreola (European mink), 1112 nucleotides. RefSeq lists it as uncharacterized. The record is from RefSeq and is a predicted model, not a curated record. Lineage: Eukaryota; Metazoa; Chordata; Mammalia; Carnivora; Mustelidae. The transcript is spliced from 2 exons.
UGCAGGGCUCGAUCCCAGGACCCUGAGAUCAUGACCUGAGCCAAAGGCGGAGGCUUUAACCCACUGAGCCACCCAGGCGCCCCGUAAAUAGCUGUCUUAAAAGACAGUCUUUUUCAAGAGAUGAGAUGGUUUUCAAAAUUUCCUGAGCCAUCAUUAACAUAUCAAGAACAAAAUCUGGUGAGCUAAAAUGGAAGUAAUAUUCCAGAGAGAGAGAACUCAGUAAAACUAGUCCCUGCUACAAGAGUAUAGAGGGAUUGGGAAGUGAAUGUGUGGACAGCCCACCUCCUGCCCUGAGGAAUUAUGGGAAGGAGAAGGGAGACACAGGUCACAGAACAGGUAGUGAGGCUGGGAGAACCUUGUGUUGUUCCUAUCUUCUCUAAGGAAGGAGGGAGGUCAUCAGAUCAAUAAGAGGAGGGCAGACAGCAUAGGGUUUUUCCUUGUUUAUGUCAUUAAUACAAUUACAAUAAAGUAAUACAUUUGUAUAACAUUAUGUUUCUCUUGCAUUUGUCCAUAAACUCUGCAGAAGCUGUCUUGUUAUUGCUUAGCAGUGCCACGCAUGUAGUCGAUAAUCAAAAAAGAGAGGGAGAUGUGCAAAGAGACAUCUGAGUACAGAGCUGUCGGCUGCUUGCCCCCAAGUGUUUGAAGCCACCCACACACACUCUGAAGCACAGUCCCCAGCCGCUGACGACUCAACACUGUCAAAUGACAGUCACAACGCCUUCAUCAUUAGUUUGUGAAACGCACUAUACAAAUGGGGCUGCAGGGUGUAAGAAGAAGAGGAAAAUGUAUUUCACGACAGCAAUAUCUUAACUCUGAGAAACAGGAGAUAAAUUGGGCCAGGUGAUUAUUUUAAAAGAACCAGUAGCUAAGAGUGAGAACUAAAAGCAAAUCUCUAUCAGAGAAUUUGAAAAACCCAAAUAAGCCAUGUCAAGCCUUCUUGCAUGAAGACCUCCUAGUGCUUCAGGGAGAAACGUUUAAAGAAGGUUCUAGGAAGAUGCCGAGAGAUGGGGCACCAGGAUCACAGGUGAACAUCUUCACCCAGGGCUCAGCAAACUGACCUACAGGCCAAACCUGGCCCACCACCUAUUCUUGUUAAUAAAGUUUUAUUGGAA